Non-coding RNA from Zonotrichia albicollis (white-throated sparrow), 323 nucleotides. NCBI's taxonomy places the organism in Eukaryota, Metazoa, Chordata, Aves, Passeriformes, Passerellidae. The record is from RefSeq and is a predicted model, not a curated record.
UUGCCUUAUAAACUUAGACUUUCUAAACAAGUUAAAUGGAACUAGGACCAGAAAUAAUAAAACUAGCUACAGCAUAGCCAUUUUUUCCAAUAUUGACAGGAGUGCAAGAAUGGGGACACCUGGUGAUUCACCUGGCUCAGAAUCCUCUCCCCCAGCAGUGGCCAGAGGAGAGAGAGACAAGAGACAAGAACCAGGUUUCUGAAGUCUCUGGACAGCUGGCAAAAGAGAAAAUUCAAACAAGGAAAAGAAGAGCAAGUGUUCCUCAGAUCUGCUUUUCCAGGCUGAUCUUUCUACCAGUUUAAGACCUGGUCUCCAGAAGUGGG